GACGAACGCUGGCGGCGUGCUUAACACAUGCAAGUCGAACGGAAAGGCCCCGCUUUUGUGGGGUGCUCGAGUGGCGAACGGGUGAGUAACACGUGAGUAACCUGCCCUUGACUUUGGGAUAACUUCAGGAAACUGGGGCUAAUACCGGAUAGGAGCUCCUGCUGCAUGGUGGGGGUUGGAAAGUUUCGGCGGUUAGGGAUGGACUCGCGGCUUAUCAGCUUGUUGGUGGGGUAGUGGCUUACCAAGGCUUUGACGGGUAGCCGGCCUGAGAGGGUGACCGGCCACAUUGGGACUGAGAUACGGCCCAGACUCCUACGGGAGGCAGCAGUGGGGAAUAUUGCACAAUGGGCGGAAGCCUGAUGCAGCAACGCCGCGUGCGGGAUGACGGCCUUCGGGUUGUAAACCGCUUUCGCCUGUGACGAAGCGUGAGUGACGGUAAUGGGUAAAGAAGCACCGGCUAACUACGUG
RNAcentral lists this ribosomal RNA (468 nucleotides) under uncultured bacterium. RNAcentral describes it as "partial 16S ribosomal RNA". It matches the Rfam family "Bacterial small subunit ribosomal RNA", at positions 28 to 507 of the family's 1533-position model. The record is from RNAcentral.